UACGUAGGUGGCAAGCGUUGUCCGGAUUUACUGGGCGUAAAGAGCGCGCAGGCGGUCGUUCAAGUCGCGUGUGAAAGCCCCCGGCUCAACUGGGGAGGGUCACGCGAUACUGAUCGACUCGAAGGCAGGAGAGGGAAGUGGAAUUCCUGGUGUAGCGGUGAAAUGCGCAGAUAUCAGGAAGAACACCCGUGGCGAAGGCGGCUCUCUGGGACGGUACUGACGCUGAGACGCGAAAGCGUGGGGAGCGAACAGG
Molecule: ribosomal RNA, 253 nt
Filed under: uncultured bacterium
Lineage: Bacteria
Description: partial 16S ribosomal RNA
Rfam family: Bacterial small subunit ribosomal RNA
Source: RNAcentral